CUGAGGCUGUCGUAAGGCGGCCUGAUCGCCGCGCAGAAGUCAGCAGAGGGCAUAGUAGGCGGUCGCGCGCCGCCGAAGGCC
This 81-nucleotide non-coding RNA is filed under the name Bradyrhizobium lablabi. RNAcentral also lists the same sequence under 1 other name. The record is from RNAcentral. Lineage: Bacteria; Pseudomonadati; Pseudomonadota; Alphaproteobacteria; Hyphomicrobiales; Nitrobacteraceae.